This 25-nucleotide transfer RNA is filed under the name Somatochlora metallica. RNAcentral's name for it is "partial tRNA-Gly". The record is from RNAcentral. Lineage: Eukaryota; Metazoa; Arthropoda; Insecta; Odonata; Corduliidae. RNAcentral also lists the same sequence under 28 other names.
AAAAAGUCUGAAUAAUUCAGAACAA